CCCUCACUUCCGGUGGGCUCGAGGCGGGGCAGAGAGUUCCUGGAGCGCGUUAAGGCCGUGGUGCUGUUCCGGUGCUCGGCCUACGGCCCAGCACCUGCACGUAUCCCGGCGCCCGCUUCUCCACGCGAGCCCGGUAGGUGUCAGCCAGGCCAGGGCGCGCCGCAGGCUCGUCCCCAGACCCCGACAGGGCGUCGAAGCCCCUCUAGGACGCUGAUUUGUCGCGGUCGCCCGCGAGGGGGCGCCCACGCCUUGCGCUCUGCAGCUCCGUGCACCAGCUGCACAGAAGUGCACGCUAACACGCCUGCAAACCCACCCGGGAGGGGUGUUCACACGAGGGUGCCAUGAACUGUUCUCCUCUCUGACGCCCCUCUGCCAUGAGCCACUCUGCCUUGGAGCCAGCUGAUUAUGGACUGAAACCUCAGCAAACAGUUUUCCUGUGGAUGUGGUUUUCAGCACAUCUGGGUAAACGCCGGCCAUAUGGUAAGAGUGCACAGUUUUGUGGGGAGCUGCCCAGCUGUCCUCCCAGGUGCCAUACUGAGCUGGAGGUAGCUAAGGAAAAGGCUGGGAAACAAGAGAGCUAACCAUCUACCCCGCACGGACUCUGCUGUAGAGACAACAGGACGGAGGACUCCCAGCCUCUCCCUGCCGCUCACAGAGCCAGGGUCUCGACCGUGGCACAGGUGAUAUGGGGCCCAGUGACUGCCAGGGGUGUCAUCCAUCUAUGCUUUGUGAGGUGUGUAGCCGUCCAGCAGCACCCAGGAGGGGAGGCUAGCACUCCCCCUCAAGUCAAGACAAUGGAAAUGUCCCCAGACAUCACCAAAGGUCACCCCCAGUUGAGAACCUGUUUUGGGGGAGUAGGGCUGAAACCCAGGCCUAGAAAGGACAGGCUGUAUCUCUGUCACAUCUCCAGGGGGAACACUAGGGGAGCAGCCGUGCUCUGUGAGGUGAUACGGGGACCCCAGUCCCUUCAGGCACAGUGUUUGCCCCCAAGGGCCUCCCACUUCUGUUGGAGGAGGUGUGAAGGACAUGGCCUGCUGUCUGAGGGGCUCCCCAUGCUUCCCUGGUGACUGAGUGGCCUGGCCACCUCUGGGUUCGAGGAUGGCUAGGGAUGGAGUCUAGCUAGGCAGACACAGCCAGUGCUCCUGACCUGGACCAGUGAUGGUGAACCCUUAAAGCUUUUAACGGCACAGACCGCCUUGGGUUCACUACCACUGUUCUAGAAGUAGAGAUUCUGUCUCCAGAAUGCUUGCUGCCUCCCUAAGGCCCAUAGUCACAGUGUUUGGAGACACAGCCUUUGUGGCUGUAAUUCAGGCCUGUUAAGGAGACGCGGAGGGCAUAAUCCCAUGGAGCCAGCGCCUCAAGCAAGCAAGGACUUGGCAAGCAGGAGCCCUCGCCAGGCCCUAGCCCUAACCCUGGACUCGUGGCAUCCACAGCUGCAGAAAGACGCCCUUCUGUCACUUCAGCACCUGUCUGUGGUGCUUUGUUAUGGCAGCCAGGGCAGAUGAACAGGGAGAGGAACUGAUGGAUACUCGCAAUGUCUGCUAUAGGCCGGAAGCCACAGGGCACUGAAAGAGACUAGAACAAGGAUUUUACUAUCCUUUAUUUAUUUUUUGUUUCUCGUUUUUUAUUUUUGGGUUUUUUGUGGGGGGUUUUUUGAGACAGAGUCUUACUAUGUAAUUCAGGCUGGCCUUGAAUUCAUUAUGUAGCCCAGGCUGGCCUCAAACUCACGGUGAUCCUCUUGCCUCAGCCUCCCAAGUGCUAGGAUUAUGGGCAUGUGCCACAAUGCCUGGCCUGUCUCUUUAAUUAAUAGGAAAUCUGAAACACACAGGAGUAGAGAGAAUCUAAUGAACCUACAUGCCUGUCCACUGGCAGCUUCAGCAGUUGCUAACCAAGGCUGGUUUUGUCUCAUCGACCAUUCCUGCAUGGAUGUGAAAAGAGCCUGACUCCCACUGCCACAGUGCAAACCCGACCAGAGGCUCCUGUCCGGGAGACAAUGAUCUGCCCCAAAGCCCUCCUCCCUCCACAGGUUGGGACUGAGUGCUGGGGCCGCACGGUAUCCUGCACCCGCAAAGGAACAGCCAGAACAGGGCAUGGACCCGACAUGGGCAGCAGCUGUCCUCGGCCUGACUUCCUGAGCUCGGAUCAUAGGAGGUGGUUGGAGCCACAGCUGGGAUGGCAUCUGGUUGAGAGGGCUGUUUGGUGCUGCGGGAAGGGGACGCUGCACCAGAGGGCACCGGUGGCCAGGUCCCUGGCACUCUCGGAAGUCAGGAGGGCUCCACAUGUAAAGCUGAGCCUUUGUGCCCUAGCCUUGUGCCUGUCAGACCAUCUUGGUCCCAUGCCUUGUGGAACCUUGCCUGGCAAGCAGGAGGUUGUCCCCUUCCUGUAAUCCCUGAUGCUUCUAAAGGCAACUAGAUGGAUGUUACACUGUUCUCUAGUUUAUUCUUUUAUUUUCCUGAGACCAUGUCUCACUGUGUACCCAGGCUGGCCUCAAGCUCGCAGCAAUCCUCUUGCCUCAGUGUCCCAAGUGCUGGGAUCACAAGUGUGUACCAUCACAGCCAGUGGUUGCUACUCCUUUUUUUUUGUACCAGGAUCAAACUCAGGACCUUGCGCUUGCGAGGCAGGCAAGGCAUCACUGAGCUUCAUCCCCGGCCCACUUCUUUUUUAAUGAGCCAAGAGUCACAAGUGUGGCCUUCUGGUUUCUCCUUACUGCUCCUCACCAGCUACCCUGGUUACAUUCACGACACAAGAAACCCUUGGCUGAGCCACGUGCAAGAGGUGGUGCCCUGAGAACCACUGAGCGGUGAGCUGGGGCCCACGGAAAGGAGUCUGGAGAGGCUGCAGGAGGCACUGAGGUAUCUGGUUCUCCUCUGUAAAGCACAGGAAGGGACACCAUCUUGGGGGAUUUGGAGGAGUUAAAGAUGGCCAUGUACGUAAAGGUGCUUAGCAGUGAUGUAGGUGUUUUAGAAAAAGAGCCACCAAGCAGAGAGAGGACUCUCUUCGUUGCCUAGGCAACAGUAAGCUCCAGCUUUCAGCAGGCUGUGCUGUGGUUACAGUGACCCAGCAGCCUCCGGCUCCACACUCAAGGGCUCCCUUGGCUGGUGUUGCCUAUCACUGCACUGAACGCCACCAAGCUUACUGUGCCUCCAUCCCAGGACCCAGGUGAAAAGGGCAGAGGGGACGGGGAAGCACACAGUAGCUUCUGAAGCUUCAGCCUGAGCACAGCACACUGACUUUGGGAGCCACAAGGCCAAGCUACAGGAAGGAAGCAAGUAGUGAUCGGGAAUUAUACUCCACCACCACCACCCCGUUCCAGAACCCCAAUCACAGGCACAGUUCAGCCAGGAAAGCAUAAAGCUGCCUAGGUGUCUUGGAGAGCAAGGUCAGGAUGCGGCUGCCCACAGCUGGCAUGUGCCCUGGACGGGACUCCUCUCCCCUGGCAGUGAAGCUGCCUCUCAGCAGCUUCUUAAGACACUGAGUGCAGAUCAGACCCGGUGUGAUCAGCCUCACCAAGCUCAGGGCCUAGGUUUGAUCCGGGGGAGGGGGGGGGGAGCUUGCUAAAUAGCCUUGAGAUGGGCACAGUGAUGCACCCAAUAAUCCUGGCCACUCCAAAUGCUGGCAGGGCUGUGGGGAAAGAGGAACCCUGCUCCACUGCUGGUGGGAGUGUGGACUGGUGCAACCACU
Molecule: non-coding RNA, 3681 nt
Organism: Heterocephalus glaber (naked mole-rat)
Lineage: Eukaryota; Metazoa; Chordata; Mammalia; Rodentia; Bathyergidae
Source: RefSeq, a predicted model, not a curated record